RNAcentral lists this long non-coding RNA (1315 nucleotides) under Anthonomus grandis grandis. RNAcentral's name for it is "uncharacterized LOC126737114". Lineage: Eukaryota; Metazoa; Arthropoda; Insecta; Coleoptera; Curculionidae. The record is from RNAcentral.
GUUCGGAGAAAAAUUCGGUCGUUUGACGUGAAUGACAAGAAUAACGACACGAAUGUUCCCGCUUUUUUUGCGUUUGUUGUGUUGGUUGUUUACUUUCGUAAAAAAGCUCUAACUAAUUUGAUCGAUUAUUGCGAUUAUACUGAACUUUUCUUUGUUUCUUUGUGAAAUAUCGACCAUAUUGUUGCUUAUAGUGUUUUAAAAUAAUACCUGAAAAGCAGUAUUAAGUCCAAUUCAGCGAUUUUAGCUGUAAAGAUGGACGGCCCUACUGAAAACCAUCAGAAUCAGGACCAAACUAUCAACAAAAAUAUGUGCCACUUAUGCAGUAAAAUGUUUUCUCCCAUUUCAGCUAAGAACAAACAUAUUAAGGUUAUUCAUAAGCAGCAACCCAGCGAAGAAAGAUUUGAGGAAUAGUUAAGAGAGCAUAAAAUAUGCACACUUGUUCGCACAAGAAAAAUUGAAGACAAGAUUGAAAAAGUAUAUUGUUGCAAUCGAAGCGAUUUUAGAGGUAAAUUUGUAGCAAUUUCAAUUCAAGCAAAGUAUUUAUUACAUACUGUACAUAUUCACUGGACUAUUUAGUGAAAGAUUGCUAAACAUGUUCUUAAUGUGUAGCUGUUUCUAGGAUUUCAAAGCAAAUGUAGUGUGAGAACAAUAAAAUGUAGUGGUUCUAUUAAAAUGAAUGGUGUAUGUCCUUCUCGUUUAAAUGUCAAGAUUUAUGGUGCAAGUAACAUUAUAUAGUCCUUUAGGGUAUCCACACAACGGGCCUGGAUGAUCACCAGUAGCAUGCCUGUAAGCCUUAUUUUUGUAUUGUCUUUAUGGUGUGAGCAAAGGAAGGGAAGCGAUUCUGUUUUAGGUGAACUCCUUGGGGAAUGUUCUUCCAAUAAUAUUGAAGCUAGCCAUAGUGUAGAAAUUGAAAUGUUUGUUAAUGAGAAGCCAACUGAAAAUCAACAAGUAGUAGUACAACGACUGAACAAGCAAUCAACAAGAGAAAUUGAAAUUGAGAAUGUAUCAAACUUUUUAAGAUCUUUAAAUGAUGAAACUUAUGAUAAGUACACGAGACAACUGACAUCAAUGAUGGAACAGGUAAAUAAGACAAAUACAGGUAAACGAAAAAUGGACAAACAAGUUUAUUUGCCAUCAAAGAAGAAGAAGGAGCAGUAAAUAAAAAUAAUAAAUUGUAUAUUUUUUUCUAUUUAUCAGUAUUUUUUUUAUAUAAUAGGUAUAUUUUUAUAGUUUUAAGUAUAUAUGUAUAUGUGUAUUUUAAUUUUUUAUGUAAGUUUUAGGCAAAUAUUUGAAAAAAUAUUACCUAUCUCAUAAG